This 1303-nucleotide long non-coding RNA is filed under the name Monodelphis domestica (gray short-tailed opossum). Its description in RNAcentral is "lncRNA (ENSMODG00000043243.1)". Lineage: Eukaryota; Metazoa; Chordata; Mammalia; Didelphimorphia; Didelphidae. The record is from RNAcentral.
CCCCCCCCCCCCCCCCCAUUAGAUCUUCUCACGCUGAAAAUCCAGGUCAGUCAUUUUGCUUCUUCUUGAGGUGUGCAGCCCAGCCUUGCCCGUUCUGACCUCUUGAGUGCUGGAAAAGGCAUAAGGGGGGUUUCCAUUUUGUAAAUUCACCUGGAGGACCAAGUGGAAAACAGACCGGAAAAGGGGGGGGGGGGGGGGCGGCGGCGCUCCCUCUCCCUCUCUCUCUCCAUCUUUCUCUUUCUGUCUCUUUCUCUCUCUGUCUGUUUCUCCCUCUCUGUCUCUGUCUCUCCCUCUGUCUCUUUGUCUUUCUCUUUGUCUCUUUCUCUGUCUGUUUCUCUGUCUCUAUCUCUUUCUCUUUGUUUUUCUCUCUGUCUCUCUCCAUCUUUCUCUUUCUGUCUCUUUCUCUCUCUGUCUGUUUCUCCGUCGGUUUCUCCCUCUCUGUCUCUCUCUCCCUCUGUCUCUUUGUCUUUCUCUGUCUCUUUCUCUGUCUGUUUCUCUGUCUUUCUCUGUGUGUCUCUCCCUCUCCCUCUGUCUCUCUAUCUCUUUCUCUUUGUCUUUCUCUCUGUCUCUCUCUCCAUGUUUCUCUUUCUGUCUCUUUCUCUCCCUGUCUGUUUCUCCAUCUCUUUCUCCCUCUCUGUCUCUCUCUCCCUCUCUCUUUCUCCUUGUCUCUCGCUCUGUGUCUCUGUCUCUCCCUCUCCCUCUGUCUCUUUCUCUCUCUUUCUCUCUGUCUGUCUGUCUCCCUGUCUCUCCCUCUCUCUGUCUGUCUCUCUUUUCCUUCAAAACCCUCUGCUUAAAAGGCAGAGCACGACUUCCAUUUUUCCUUCACAAACCCGCUUACUCAAGUUUUAUGGACUGUAGAUCAAAGUCCUCCUUUCUUCUGAAUUCAAGUCCAACACACCUUCCCACCUUCUCUGACUUGCUUAAGUCAAACUAACAUUCCGUUGGUAUCACUUCAAUUGCUAAUCGGUAACCCCAAAGAGCUCUGAUAUAAAGAUUACAUCGUUGAACCACUGCAUCUUCAGCAUAGUACUCAUCAGUUAUAAAUUCCAGUUCAUAGUACAAAUCGGUAAACUGAGGCAACCACAGAGUAUUGAACCAAAUCAUGGUGCGGUCAGGUUGACGAUGAGCUUUUGUUUACAUCCAAACAAUACUUAAAACACAUGUUUUAGCAGCAGCUCACAUAACACAUUUCAAAAAAUCUCAUAAAGCAUUUAGUAACUUCACAGGGAUCUGCUUUAAAUUCAGAGAUUCGCACCUUAAGCAGGCCUUGUGGACAGGCAGGCGGAUGAUCUCUUUUCAGGAC